Leptopilina boulardi is the source of this 7523-nucleotide RNA transcript. It is a transcript of the gene named protein qui-1, with no coding region annotated. The record is from RefSeq and is a predicted model, not a curated record. The transcript has 12 exons. Lineage: Eukaryota; Metazoa; Arthropoda; Insecta; Hymenoptera; Figitidae.
UUAAAAAAAAGAAAAUAUUUAAAAUAAAUUGUUGACCAGAAAUAAAAGAAAGAUUCUAUAAAGAAAAAUAAAUUCUAAAAUAAAUCGAUAUUAGCAAUUAAGAAAGAUAAUUAAUAUUAUUAUUAUGAAUGUAUUUAAUUAAGUGGAAUUAAUUGCGGUGAAACAAUUAAUAAAUAAUAAACAAAAACAAUCGAAUUAAUCGACUCGAGUCGUGUAAACAAAAAAAGAAACAAAGAAUCAAAUGGAAUUGACGAGGAUCAAAUAAAAAAAAAAUUUUUUUGAGGAGAAAAAAGAAAAAGAAGAAGAAAAGAAUUUAGAAUAUUUUUUACAUUGAGAAAAAAGAGGCAAAAAAGGAGUUAAUUGUAAAAAAAGGUGUGUGAUAUUGUGUGUGAAAAAGAGAGAAAGCCAAAAGAGAACAGAGAAAAGAGAAAUAAAAGAGAAAGAGAGGAAAAGAGAGAAAAAAUUCAUGGAAAUUAGUUAAAAAUUAGUGGAGGAAACAAAGAACAGAGAAAAGAAAAAAAGGGAAGGGAGUAAAGGAAAAAAGAGAAAAAGGGAGUACAGGAACAUAAAUUUAGAAAAAUUAAAAUUUAGUUGAAAAAAGUUAAUGGAGGAACAACGAGAACAAAGGAGACGAAAAAUAUUGAAACAAAAACGAAUUAACAAAUAAAAAAAUAAAAAAUUUCCAACUAAAAGAAAUAAAAAGAAAAGAAGAAAACUAAAAAAACACAACAGAGAGAAGGAAAAGAAAGAAUAGAAUAGUGCUGGAGGAGAAGAGGAAAAACAGAUAAAAAUAGGGAUAAGAACGGAGGAAAAAGAAGAAAAGAGAAGGGAAAAGUGAAAUAGAGAUAGAAAAAAGGAUUAAAACGGAAUAAAAAAAAGAACAGUAGUGGAGGAGAAGAGGAAAAUAGAUAAAAAAAAGGGAUAAGAACUGAGGAAAGAAGAGAAAAGAUUAAUAAAUAGGGGAUAAGAAAGGGAAAAAAAUUUGAUAAUAGAAUAAAACAACGGAGGAAGAAAUAAAAAAUAAGGAAAAGAAGUGGUAAAAAGGGGUCAAAGAGUAGGAAAAAGGGAUAAAAAAAGGUUCAAACAGUAGAAAAAGGGGGUAAAAAAGGGUUAAAGAGUAAUAAAAAGGAGGUAAAAAUGAUUAAAGAGUAAUAAAAAGGGGGUAAUAUGGUUUAAAGAGUAGAAAAAAUUGGGAAAAGAUUUGCUAAAAAGGUUCAAACAGUAGGAAAAGGGGUAAAAAGGGUUUAAGAGUAUUAAAGAGAGGGAAGAAAAGGUUAAAGAGAAGGAAAAAGAGGUAAAGAAGGGUUAAAAAGUUGUAAAAAGGGUUAAAGAGUAGAAAAGAGGAGGUUAAAAUGGUUAAAGAGUAGUAAAAAGAAAAAAAAAGGGAAAAGAUUGCUAAAAAGGGUCAAACAGUAGGAAAAGGGGUAAGAAAGGGUUAAAGAGUAUUAAAGUGAGGGUAGAAAGGGUUAAAGAGCAGAAAAAAGGGGUAAAGAAGGGUUAAAAAAGUGUUAAAAAGUGGGUAAAAAGGGUUAAAGAGUAGAAAAAAGGGUAAAAAAGGAAAAAAAAAGUGUAAUCUACGGAAGGAAAAAAACGAAGUUAUAAAAGAGAAUUAAAAGCAAAAAAAGAGAGUAUUAAAAGAGGAGUAAGGGAGAAAAUAAGAGUAACAGAGUUUACAAAUAAGGGUAAAUGGACAGUAAUUAGAAGCAACAAAAAGAGAAAGGAAAAAAGAUUAAGAGCAAUAGAAAAGACAGAGAAAGAAACAAAACAAAGAAAGAGUGAAUGAGAAUUAGAGGAUUAAAAAAAAUCAGAAGAGGAAAAGAGAAAAAAAUUUUGUAACAAUAUAGAGUGGAGACGAAGGAAAAAAAAGGGGGGAAAGAAAAUUAGUGAGGGAAGAAAGAAAGAAGAAAAAAGAAGAGGAUUGUAGAGGAGAAGAAAGAAAGAGAAAAAAAAGUGUUAUCAGUAGUUUAUAGAAAAGAGAAGAAUGAAUCUCGAGGUAGAAUUGAUAGCCGGAGUGGUAAAGGGUGGACCUCCCCCUGCCCACUUGCCAGCACCACGUCUCAUCAAGAUAUUCAUUGCUGGUGAAAGAGACGAAUUUCUUGAGGAGAGAAAACAACUUUUGGAAAUUGUUGGUCCAGAAUUGCAAUCAAUCUACGAUGGAAUGGGAAUUGAAGUUUUAUUGGUUGAUAUGCAAUAUGGGACAAUACGAAAUCCAGAUGCUGAUCCAAGAUUGGCUGAAUUAUUUUUGGAUGAGAUAAAUGCAUCUCAUCGACAUUCGAGAGGUUGUUUUCUCCUGCUUUUAGUUGGGUCGGAUUACAGUUCAGGAUGGGUGCCAACUGUACUGAAAAAGGAAACUUUUCAGUCUUUGAUUGCCCAUAACGACCAUCUGGGGGAAUAUUACGAGCUCAAUGGUCAUAAUUACAAUUUAAAGGCCACCAGCGAGGAAACUGCUCAGGAUUCUUGGCAAUUACAUCGAGAGACAAAAAUUCGCGAUGCUCUUGUCACCGCGGCAAAAGCACUUCUUGUCGUGGAUCCCGAAAAUUUGGAUGCAAAAUAUAUUCUCAAAAGUUCAAGCGAACGACAAUUAGAUCAUGGCCUAAAUUUAAGCGAAGACGGCGAGGGAAUAGUGACGAUAAUUCGCACAUGGUCAGGUGGUGGUGUUGGUUGUCCACAAUUGUCGGAAGCGAUAAAAUUAUUGAAAAACCGCGUUGAAUCGUCUUUACCCGAUGAAAAUGUAAUUCGCCUUGAAGCGGAAUAUAAAUCAAAUGGUAUUGACACUGAAUAUCCUUCCCAUGAGGCUUAUCUUGGAAAAUUGCGCGAUUCAGUUCUAAACCGGAUUCAACAUCUCGUCAAUGUAUCCGUGGAAAACGAUCCGGAAAUUAAGAGUCGGAAGAAAAUGGUGCAGGAAGUUUAUGCCGAGAGUCUCUCGCAUCUGUCACUUCUCAGGGAAUCAAGAGCCGUUGACGAAACGGACGAAUCGAUUCUCAGCAUCAAACGACGCUUAUUAGCAGGAAUGGAACAGAAGCAUGGACCAAUUUUAAUUCGCGGUCAACGUUGUUCGGGAAAAUCGUCAAUUCUUGCGCGUAUCUAUGAAAGUUGUCCCAAUUGGUUUGGCGUGCCAACAUUGAGAGUUGUCCGUCUUUGUACAUCGACACCACGCUCUGCUUAUAGUCUUGAAUUAUUGAGAAUACUUUGUGAGCAUGUGGGAUUUUUAUCCGGUAAUAAUGAUGGAAAUGUACCGCGCGAUGCAUCAUUUGAUCCAUUGUAUUUGAAUAAUUGGUUUAAUCAAAUAAUGCGAAGAAUAGAGGAACAACCAUUGACUGAACAAUUGGUGAUAUUGGUCGACGAUUUACAUCGAUUACAUCCACUUGAAUGUGAUAUUGUCGCUGCACUCUCUUGGCUUCCCGUCAAUUUACCUCAGGGCGUACACUUUGUGGCAACGACCGCAGUGCCUCCAGAAGCAUUACGUCUCACUCCAUUGCAAAAAGAACGUUUAAGAAGCAAUGAAAUAUUAAUACAACUACCAGAGCCAAAGGAUAUUGAUAUACCCGACAUUGAAAAAGUAUUGGACAAUCUUGAACGAUUAAUAGGUGUAAAAGCCGCAAAUCGUUUAGGUUCAUUGUUAUCGUGCACUGAAUAUGGUCUAUCGGAGACGGAAAUUUUAGAAUUAAUAAUGCCAACCGGUGACGAUAGUCCACUACAAUUAAUAGAGGGACAAUUUAAUUUUGCAACAUGGUGCCUAGUGAGACGUACACUUGAUUCAUUGCUUAGAGUACGUGUUAUGAGUGGACGUCUUAUGUUUAGUUGGCGUUGGUUGAGUCGUGAAUUGGCACGUAAACGUUAUUUAUCAUCACAAGAUGUUGCCAAGGCAAAUCAUGUGGAGCUGUCAAAUUUAUUCUUCAUGGAGGAAAGUGAGGAGAGUGAAGAGAAAUCACCAGAAGAUCCUGCUGAACAACCAGCAGCAAAGGAAACACCAUUUCAAAGUGCACCACAGACACAUGAUAAUAUUACCUAUACAUUGCGUCAUGUUGAAGAAGCAUGGUUACAUUUACUACAAUCCGGUGACGUGGAUCGUUUGAAAAAACUCGCUGUUUGUGCAUUUGAUUUUCUUCUAGCCGGAUGUCAAAUGAUAUCGGUUAGUUAUUUGCGUUGUGUUUUGGAACAUGCAAGACGUUAUUUACUUGAGAGAGAUCUUGAACUUGUCUACUAUGCUGUGAGAAAGUCGAGUGAUAUUUUGACCCGGGAUCCACUACAAUUGGGAGCACAACUUAUUUGUUGGUUGAGAACUGUUGCUGAGGAUGACAGUGAUCUUGUAUCGCGAAUGGUAAUGGCGGCAAUGGCAUGGUGUGAUGGUUUUACUGCACCUUUACUAGUGCCACUUAAUGGUUGGUUACAGCCACCACUUCCUUUGCAAAUACGUGCAUUAGCCUGUCCACAAGGUGUGAAAUUUGUCGAACCAGCACCGUCGGGUCAACAUGUUGUUGUUGUUCCACCGCAAGGUGAUGCACAACUUUGGCACGUUAUGUCCGGUCAAUUGGUACACACAUUUAAGGGACACUCGAAUCCAAUUUCGUGUCUUGCUGUUACACAACAGUCGCAGUAUUUGUUGACUGGUUCGGAGGAUACGACUAUUAUUGUCUGGGAUAUGCAACAAUUGUCAAUGAAAAGAAAAAUUUGUGAACACAUUGCACCGGUGCUGGCGUUGACACCGGCUUUAAAUAAUUCGGUGAUUGUCAGCGGUGGUGAGGAUUCGAGAAUUAUUGCCACGAGUUUGCUUACGGGUGAGGUGCUGAUGAGAGUGGAUCAUCAUCGAGGUCCAGUUACGGCUGUUAGAGUUGAUGCGGCUGGUGAGGUUUUGGUUUCUGGAUCUGUGGAUGGUAGUGUUUGCCUGUGGUCGUUGGAGACAUUUACCUUGCUCAACAGUAUUCCGCUACCGAGUCCUGUUAUUAAAUUGGACGUUUCUGAGGAUUCGGUGUUUCUACUGGCGGUUUGCGAUGAUCAGAAGAUGUAUCUCAGAUCCCUAGCAACCGGAACGGAGAUUCACACCCUUCGAGGACAUCAAGGACCGGUGAGAAGCAUUUGCCUAGCAAAGGACUGCAGAAGAGCAAUUGCCGGUGGCGCUGAGGGUCGAAUUUCUAUAUUCGACAUGCACAAAGGCAGGCUAAUGAAGAAUCUACCAGCGAAUCCAUCUUCAGACAUAACUUGCGUUAAGGCAACAGAAAAAGACGAUUUCCUCAUUACCGCCGGCGGUGGUCGUGUGACUUACUGGAGUUUUCGAAGUGAAGAAGCCAGACCAAAACCAGGUAAAAAGCAGGAAUCACUUCAGGCUCAUACGGCGCCCAUCUCGUGUCUCGAUAUAUCCAGAGAUGGUGCUAUGGCAGUUACCGGUGGCGUGGAUUCAUUGGUCAAUCUCUGGCAACUCAAUACCCAUGAAUUAUUGUCUACAUUGGAAGGACACGACGCAAGUGUUACAUGCGUUGCAUUUUCCGCUAGUGGACUUUUUGCAGCUUCUGGCUCUGAGGACAAAACGGUGAGAGUUUGGGGUUUGACACUUGGAUUGGUGGUGGCAACAUUUCGUCAUCAAGCGCCAGUUACUUCGGUAAUUGCAAUGUUGGAUGGUAGACGUGUUGUCAGCUCUGACCGUGGUGGUUCGAUUCGAGUCUGGGCGGCUGACAGUGGAACGUUGAUUCAAUCGGUUUGCGGUCCUGGAAGAUGUUUCUCCGUUACGUCCGAUAUGAGAUACGCAGUUUGUGGGAGUGGCGACAAUCAGGUACAAAUUAUAGGCCUUGGAGCGGGUCCAGAGGAGAAGCAUCAAGUCUCCCAUUCACAGGAUAUCACUUGUCUAGUAGUUACCCCAGAUUCCCAAUCACUGAUAACAGGUUCUCGGGAUAUGAGUCUAAAAGUUUGGCAAUUGGCUGGAGGGAAAUUGUCACAAGUACUAGUGGGGCACACAGAUCACGUGACAUGUGUAGCAGUGGCGGUUUUGGAUAAAUGUAUCGUUGUUUCGGGAUCAAGGGAUGCGAAUCUAAUUGUUUGGGACAUCAAUACGGGUGCGGAUUUGCAUACCCUGACGGGUCAUUUGGGUUACGUGACGUGUGUUCGUUUAUCCGGUGAUGGAACACUGGCAGUUUCGGGCAGCGAGGACAAGAGUCUAAUUGUUUGGGAUACAAAGAAGGGCACAGCAUUGAGUUCAAUAAUGCUUCAUGUACCAAUUUUGGGUGUUGAAAUGUCCACCGAUUGUUCCCGUUUGUCACUGUAUCUAUUGGAGCACAAGUGUAUGCCAAUUCUUUGUUUGCACAAUACACCGGCGCAGUAUGUUAAACUUCCUUCUUAUGUUGCUCCAAGGGAUUUAAGACCACCGGGACCGAAACGACCGGCUAGGAGAUUGUUGAAAAAGGAGGUGUCUCUUGAUACUUAUACUUGGCAGAAAAAAUACGGUCAUCUAACAUCAGGAAUAAUGGUAGCGUCCGUUGAGGAGAGACUUAAGCGAAGAUUUAGCGUUAGUGCAUCAAUGGAGGAAAUCAGUAAAGCCGGAUUAACAGGCUCCCAAUCCGGAUUAGGUCCAGAACAAGCGGCACUUGCUCAAUCCCAACAUUUUGAUCAAUUGGAAGCAAUUUGGAAUAAACAAUCACCACCACCGAGACCAAGAGGUCUUGCUAGGACACUAACUAAACAGAAUUCACUUCAUACAACAAGAAUUUCUGAUUCCGAGGAGGAAGGUAGAAGAACAGUUUCGUGUAUCGCCUCCUGAUCCCGCUUGCACAAUUUAUUUCGACAAUUUAGUUUAGAUUGAUCAAAAAAAAAAAAUUUUUGCAACUUAUUCACACACAUAGUGCAUUUUGUCUUGCAGAAAACAAAAAAAUAAAACACUUUAGGCAAAUUGUAUUUGUAUUUAGCAAAAAAAAGUGCAUGUUUGCAAAAUUAGUUCCAUUUUUGUAUGAAGAGUAGUCUUUUCUUUUUAGUAUUUAGAAAAGGAUCGAGAGUUUCCAGAAUUCGCGUAGUGUGAAUUGAGCUUAAGGGUGAUUGCACACUGUGAACGAACUUUAAUGUAACAAAUAAGGUUAGGAGAGACAAAGAAGAUGGAGCUGCCAACCCUGCAAUUUUUGUGCACAUUAAUUAGAUGCAUGUUUCGUUAUUGUGCAAAUAAAGAUCUUCCAGGCUAGUGAAUGAUAAAAAAAAGAUAAGAAGAGAAAAAAAAUUGUAGCAGAUCUGCCAUUUCAUCCUUUUUCUGAAACUAAUAAUUUUCAUGUUUGCUGAAAAAAAGAGAAAAAUAAAUAAAAAAAAAAUUUGUUGUGCAUUUAAAUGCAAAAUAAUGAUGUCAAUAAGUGAGAAAAUUAUAUUUUUUUUUUAUUAUUUAUAAUAUAAAAAAAUAUAUAUAUGUAUAAUAAUAAUCUACGAAACAAAGAGGUGCUGUAAAACAAAAAUUAUUUUUUUCCUGUUAAAAAAUUAUUUAUUAUGUACUUAAUUUUUUUAUUUAAAAAAAAAUAAUAAUAAUAUAUGUUCGUAAUAAAUUAUUUAUAAUUCGU